Molecule: long non-coding RNA, 3010 nt
Organism: Lagenorhynchus albirostris (white-beaked dolphin)
Lineage: Eukaryota; Metazoa; Chordata; Mammalia; Artiodactyla; Delphinidae
Exons: 3
Source: RefSeq, a predicted model, not a curated record
AUUCUUUGAGCCAUGUUCCUUGAAAUUUCACCAUUUGCUUUAACAAUUCUGAAGUGCCAUCUACUGGUUGAAAAGGAUACUUCGUCCUUAUAGGUGGCUAUGGUUACAUACUAUAUUAUGUGAGGGGUAGGCUACACAAUGUUGGGACUCCUUUUAUCAUCUCGCUUUCUAACAGGAUUUGCAGAAACAAAAAGUGCCAGUUAAAUUUUUUUUUCCUUGAAAAGUAGGAAUGGCCAGAUUUAGGUUUGGGAUAUAUAAUCCAAGGGAUGCUUACUAAUAGUAGUAGAAAAUAGUUAACUAUUAUGUACUGCAGUAAGAAAACAUUGCAGUUAUCAGUUUCAUCAUAUUCAUUUGAUUAGGACCCCAUUAAGAAAGAAUUGGUAAAAUUAUCUUAAACAUAAAUUUGCUACCUUUUAAAGUAAGCCUGAGCCAUUGAAAUUAAUUUUAGACCUAUCAUUGAAAAACACCUUUUUGUUGUAAAAUUUGUAUUUUGACAAGAACUUAGGAAUUAUUGUAUAGAAGAUAAAUGCUAGAAGGGGUCUUUCAGAUCAUCUGACCCACCUCCCUCUUUUUACAAUAGACAAAAUGGGAAACAAGAACAUACAUCAGGUCACACAGCUAGUAUUAAGACCCAGUGCAUAGUCAUUAUCAACAAGUUUAUAAAGUGCUUAAAAAUAUCAGAGUUGCAGAAUUUAAGUUUCAGAUUAAUAGUGCUGCCACAUUUCAUAAAUAAACUUCUGAGUUCAUUCCACUGAACUCUACAUGCUCUGAAUUUCUUUGAAAUUUUACUGAAACGUAUCUAAAAAUUCAGUUAUAGAUCCUACACUUCACACAGUAAUUCUCUGACUUCAAGAUUAAAACUAAUUUCUUCAACUUCCCUGGUGGCGCAGUGGUUAAGAAUUUGCCUGCCAGCGCAGGGGACACGGGUUCAAUCCCUGGUCCAGGAAGGUCCCAUGUGCCACGGAUCAACUAAGCCUGUGAGCCACAGCUACUGAGCCCGUGCACCGCAACUGCUGAGCCCACGCACCGCAACUAUUAAAGCGGCGCGCCUAGAGCCCCUGCUGCACAACAAGAAGACACCGCAGUGAGAAACCUGCGCACCAUGAUGAAGAGUAGCCCCCGCUCACUGAAACUAGAGAAAGCCCGUGCACAGCAACAAAGACCCAACACAGCCAUAAAGAAGGAAAGAAAAGAGGGAAGAAAGGAAGAAAUUGCCCUCAUUAUAAAUAAGUAAAUAAAACUCAUUUCUUUCUUGGGCUUCUGUCACUUGUAACAUGAGUAUAAUCCUUACAUUUGAACAAAAUUCUGCUUUUAGUUCCAACUCUAUUUCUUCUUCUUAUGAUUGGUUCUCUUGUUGCUCCAAAGCAGAAUUUAUCUACCUCAGUGCUGUUGACAUUUUGAACUAGAUAAUUCUUUUUUCUCGAGGAUGUCAUGUACAUUAUAGGAUGUUGAGCAGCAUCCUUGGCCUCCAUCCUCCAGAUGCAGCAACCCCUGGUCAUGACAAAAAAAUAUCUCCAAAAAUUGCCAAAUUUCCCCUGGGAAGCCAAAUGUUUAUCUGAAAAAAUUUAACCAAGUGUCCUGUAUGUUAUCUGACAGUAUCAUAUCACCAGUUGAAAACCACUGAUUGAAUAUACCUUCUAACUCAGCAGUCCUCAACUUCAGCUGUACAUUUGAAUCAAGUGGGAGUGCAUUGAAACACAUUGAUAAUUUGGCCUCCACUCUCACAGAUUGUUUUAUUAGUGUGAAGAGCCUUGGGCAUCAUUAUUUUUUAAAAGUUUCCCAGAUGAUUCAGAUGUACAGUCAGGAUUAAAACCAUUAGUUGGUUUUGAAACUCAGAGGUUAAAGAGGCAUCUAAAGAAAUAAGGGCAGGAUAUGAUAACUGAUUUAAUGCACUAAGGAGAUACAGGAAACAAAAAUGAAAUCUCUAAUGUUCUGCAUUAAGAGUGACCUAAUCAGGCUCAAAUAAAUUCAAGGGUUCUUUCUCUAUGAAGCCUUUCCUAACUACUCCAUCCCUCACUGAUCUUUCUUUUCCUUUCAUUUGUAUAGCACUUGGUUUACACCACACCAUUUUGCACUUACUACUUGUACAUAAUUCUUUUGUAUUUUUUAUUGUCUUUUUUCCUCCUGUACCUGGAAAGUAGGCAUCCAGUUCCCUAAUAAGCAUUGCAGUACACUCAGUAAUAAUCUUUAUUCUCAUCUCUUUACUACCCAGGAUGUUUUCAACUGUUUCAUAAGUUUUCUUUGCCCUCCCUUCUUUGUGUCAACAGGAUGUAUGUAAGCUAUAACUUCAUUAUCCAGAAGAUUCAAAUUCAGGCUUUGAGCAUUUGCCUCCCAGUCAUAUUAUUGGAAGUUAUAAUCACUUAAAACCAUCUUGCUACUAUAAAGCUAUCGUCAUUAAGACAAAGUGAUAUUGACACAAGGAUAGACAAACUGACCAAUGAAGAGAAAAAGAAGUCCAAGAAACAGACCUGCACGAGUGGUCACUUGAUUUAUGACAAAGAAAUGACUACUAAAACCCUGGGAGUGGUUGAAUGCUCUGAGUGAAAAAGUGAAGAAAAGUGAUCACGUCCAAGAUAAAAUCUUGAUAAAUGCUAUGGGAAAGCAGCAAGGGAGAGAACAGAAUUCCAGAAAGAAAAACUAUUUGGAAAAAGGCCUGAAGAAAGAAGGAGCCUGAAACAAUGUGAAGAGCUGAAAUAGAAGGCCAGUGUGGCACAGCCCAGAGGUAAACGACAGGAAAGACGAGACUGGGGGUGUCAUCAGAGAUGGUGGUGCCUUUGAAUGGGAUAGAAGAGAAAUCCACUGUGAGGGGAGAAGUGGUGUUCAUCAAAAUCCAAGCAGAGCUAUUGAGAAGAAAGUUGUAUGCAUAAGACUGCUGCCCAAUAGAUAGCUCUGAGCUGAAGAUGAUAACCUGGGAGUCGUUAUCAUGUAAACGGUCAUUGAACGCAGGGUGUGAAUGAGGUUGAUAAGGGAGAGAGAAUAGAGUAAGAAGCUAACAGAACCAGUCUGAGAC